UACAGAGGGUGCAAGCGUUAAUCGGAAUUACUGGGCGUAAAGCGUGCGUAGUCGGUUAUCUAAGUCAGGUGUGAAAUCCCCGGGCUCAACCUGGGAAUUGCAUUUGAUACUGGAUAGCUAGAGUUCGGCAGAGGGAAGUGGAAUUUCUGGUGUAGCGGUGAAAUGCGUAGAUAUCAGAAGGAACAUCAGUGGCGAAAGCGACUUCCUGGACCAGAACUGACGAUCAGGCACGAAAGCGUGGGGAGCAAACAGGAUUAGAUACCCUGGUAGUCCACGCCAUAAACGAUGACAACUAGACGUUGGGGACAUAUGGUCCACAGUGUCGCAGCUAACGCGUUAAGUUGUCCGCCUGGGGAGUACGGCCGCAAGGUUGAA
This 375-nucleotide ribosomal RNA is filed under the name uncultured bacterium. RNAcentral describes it as "bacterial SSU rRNA". It matches the Rfam family "Bacterial small subunit ribosomal RNA", at positions 524 to 898 of the family's 1533-position model. The record is from RNAcentral.